GAUUUCUGACUUGGCGCACCUGGCCCGCCACGGUUACGUGUGUGAGUGCUGGGCUGCGCCUGUCACUGUUCUGGUCAACUAUUAUGCACUUCAUUGGGUGUGAUAGGUAGCCAGAUAUUUUACUUUGAAAAAAUUAGAGUGUUUAAAGCAGGCGUUUGCUAUGAAUACAUUAGCAUGGAAUAAUAAGUUAGGACUUCGGUUCUAUUUUGUUGGUUUCUAGGACUGAAGUAAUGAUUGAUAGGGAUAGUUGGGGGUGCUAGUAUUCAGCGGCCAGAGGUGAAAUUCUCGGAUUCGCUGAAGACUAACUUAUGCGAAAGCAUU
RNAcentral lists this ribosomal RNA (321 nucleotides) under Allapsidae sp. RNAcentral describes it as "SSU rRNA". The stretch from base 54 to 321 matches the Rfam family "Eukaryotic small subunit ribosomal RNA", at positions 686 to 955 of the family's 1831-position model. The record is from RNAcentral. Lineage: Eukaryota; Cercozoa; Glissomonadida; Viridiraptoridae.